RNAcentral lists this ribosomal RNA (446 nucleotides) under uncultured bacterium. RNAcentral describes it as "partial 16S ribosomal RNA". It matches the Rfam family "Bacterial small subunit ribosomal RNA", at positions 338 to 795 of the family's 1533-position model. The record is from RNAcentral.
CCUACGGGGGGCUGCAGUCGAGAAUCAUUCACAAUGGGGGAAACCCUGAUGGUGCGACGCCGCGUGGGGGAAUGAAGGUCUUCGGAUUGUAAACCCCUGUCAUGUGGGAGCAAAUUAAAAAGAUAGUACCACAAGAGGAAGAGACGGCUAACUCUGUGCCAGCAGCCGCGGUAAUACAGAGGUCUCAAGCGUUGUUCGGAAUCACUGGGCGUAAAGCGUGCGUAGGCUGUUUCGUAAGUCGUGUGUGAAAGGCGCGGACUCAACCCGCGGAUGGCACAUGAUACUGCGAGACUAGAGUAAUGGAGGGGGAACCGGAAUUCUCGGUGUAGCAGUGAAAUGCGUAGAUAUCGAGAGGAACACUCGUGGCGAAGGCGGGUUCCUGGACAUUAACUGACGCUGAGGCACGAAGGCCAGGGGAGCGAAAGGGAUUAGAUACCCUUGUAGUC